CCUACGGGAGGCAGCAGUGAGGAAUAUUGGUCAAUGGUCGCGAGCCUGAACCAGCCAAGUAGCGUGAGGGAUGACUGCCCUGCGGGUUGUAAACUUCUUUUAUAAAGGAAUAAAGUGCGGCACGUGUGCCUUUUUGUGUGUACUUUAUGAAUAAGGAUCGGCUAACUCCGUGCCAGCAGCCGCGGUAAUACGGAGGAUCCGAGCGUUAUCCGGAUUUAUUGGGUUUAAAGGGAGCGUAGAUGGGUUGUUAAGUCAGUUGUGAAAGUUUGCGGCUCAACCGUAAAAUUGCAAUUGAUACUGGCAGUCUCGAGUACAGGUGAGGUAGGCGGAAUUCGUGGUGUAGCGGUGAAAUGCGUAGAUAUCACGAAGAACUCCGAUUGCGAAGGCAGCCUACUAAACUGCCACUGACAUUGAUGCGCGAAAGCGUGGGUAUCAAACAGGAUUAGAUACCCGGGUAGUC
This 460-nucleotide ribosomal RNA is filed under the name uncultured bacterium. RNAcentral describes it as "partial 16S ribosomal RNA". It matches the Rfam family "Bacterial small subunit ribosomal RNA", at positions 338 to 795 of the family's 1533-position model. The record is from RNAcentral.